AGUAAUUGAUUGGCCUGUGGGAAUAGUUCCCUGACUAGCUAGUUGGGAAAUUCAUUUUUAUUAAACCUUAUGCCUUGGGUCACAGUAAAGCCAGGGAUAAAUCAAGUGAUCUCUCUGGGUUUUUAGUCAUGUCUUACAGGUGAAACAAAAGUUAUAUUUCCUGGAGGAAAUAGUUCUGGAUAUGGAGUUAUAAGAUCUUAACCAGUGUGAUUCAGUGGAAAAAAAAAUUAAAUUCUGAUUCAAAGGACCCAGGCCUGAUUUAGGCUCCACUAAUUAAAACUAUGUGACCUGGAGGUCUUACAUAUAUAAUUUCUAAAAUGAUGUUGUGACCUCUAUACUCUCUUCAAGCUACAAAUUUUUGCUUUUAUAAUAUAUCCCAAAGCUUCACAUAUUAGAUGUAGAGUAGAAGUAUAAUUGAGAUGAUCAACAACAUUGACUAAGAGAACUUGCCUCCCAAGAGAUGGAUAGGAAAUGAGAGAAAAAAUCAACUUGUCAACUCUUUAUCCAAACUUCAGUGGUUGAGUUACCCACAUUAUUUGUGCUUCCUUGGACCUUUGGUGGCAGAGAGAUGGCUGGUGGCAGUGUGCUGGGCCUUUCAGCAUCUUGGCGUGGCUAUAGCUAUUUUCUGGUUUGGUGUGUGAUCUUCACUUUACACAUGAAGAAACUGAGCCAUGAAUUGGAGGAUCUGCCUUAAGCUUUUCAGCAGCUGAGCCUGCAAUCAAGUCCCAGGAGUUGCUAAAGUGCUUAGAUUCUGCUCUAAUCAGAGGGUCUCCUCUUCACCUUCAUACAUAAGUGAGUGAAGGCUCAUUACACCCAUGAGAGUAGCAAACUAUCAGGGCCAAUCAUCCAGAGAUAAAUUAUUGUUACAGGAGGAGAUGAAAAAGUUUGAUAGCCU
This 895-nucleotide long non-coding RNA is filed under the name Monodelphis domestica (gray short-tailed opossum). Its description in RNAcentral is "lncRNA (ENSMODG00000050264.1)". The record is from RNAcentral. Lineage: Eukaryota; Metazoa; Chordata; Mammalia; Didelphimorphia; Didelphidae.